RNAcentral lists this non-coding RNA (45 nucleotides) under Schistosoma haematobium. The record is from RNAcentral. Lineage: Eukaryota; Metazoa; Platyhelminthes; Trematoda; Strigeidida; Schistosomatidae.
AUCUAGCUGAAGAGUCCAAAAUAGGACGAAAUGCGUGUCUUUGAU